GAGGAGCUGUGCCUCCCUGCCAGGCCUAAGGACAAGAGCCAAUACCUUGUAAAUGGAGCCCUUAUUUCCACCACUUUCCAGGACAUUUCCCAAGCUGGAUGUGAUUACCGUGCAGAACACACCUACGUCUACUUUGAAAUAACCCUGUUUUUGUACCUUCCCCACCCAACUAGGAGGCGGAGGAGUUUGCAAAGAGUGAAAGCUUAACCUACAUGGAAACGUCGGCAAAAUCCAACCACCAAGUGACCGAGGUGCUUAUGGCCAUAGGUCAGUUCCAAGUGAGAAGCCGCUGGACAGCUCCCGAGUUAUUGAAAUAGGAACAACAGAAGGAACCAGCCCCUCAGCCUCAGCCCUGGAAGAAGUCACGCGUGGACCUGCGAGAGCCAAGCAAUCAGACUAAGAAGUGUUGCAUGAACUAAAGGAAAUGGCAGACUGACCUAAGGUUACCAUCAAGUGUGGUUUUAUGGGGGGCGGAGGUAAGGGGGUAAGGGAGGCUGGCCCUAUGUAUUGUGUGCAGGCUGCAUGGUUCUAGGGGGCAGCUGGUGUGUCAGACCGUGAUUAUUGCUCUUAUUUUUCAUUAUUGUCAGUGUUCGAUUGAAGAAUUGUUCGAGAGGAGAUAUUGCCGAAUGCAAGGAACCUGAAAAGCGCUGCAAGUCUCCUAUCGCUUGUGUUUGCUCAGUGUUAUCAUUAUACAAUACAGUGCAAAGUAGCUUCACAAAUAAAAACAGCAAAAAGGA
Long non-coding RNA from Mauremys mutica (yellowpond turtle), 737 nucleotides. RefSeq lists it as uncharacterized. The transcript has 2 exons. The record is from RefSeq and is a predicted model, not a curated record. NCBI's taxonomy places the organism in Eukaryota, Metazoa, Chordata, Testudines, Geoemydidae.